AACGAACGCUGGCGGCAUGCCUAAUACAUGCAAGUCGAACGAUCACUUCGGUGGUAGUGGCGCACGGGUGCGUAACGCGUGGGAAUCUGCCCUUGGGUUCGGAAUAACAUCGGGAAACUGAUGCUAAUACCGGAUGAUGACGUAAGUCCAAAGAUUUAUCGCCCAGGGAUGAGCCCGCGUAGGAUUAGCUAGUUGGUGGGGUAAAGGCCUACCAAGGCGACGAUCCUUAGCUGGUCUGAGAGGAUGAUCAGCCACACUGGGACUGAGACACGGCCCAGACUCCUACGGGAGGCAGCAGUAGGGAAUAUUGGACAAUGGGGGCAACCCUGAUCCAGCAAUGCCGCGUGAGUGAUGAAGGCCUUAGGGUUGUAAAGCUCUUUUACCCGGGAUGAUAAUGACAGUACCGGGAGAAUAACCCCCGGCUAACUCCGUGCCAGCCGCCGCAGUAA
This 449-nucleotide ribosomal RNA is filed under the name uncultured bacterium. Its description in RNAcentral is "partial 16S ribosomal RNA". It matches the Rfam family "Bacterial small subunit ribosomal RNA", at positions 29 to 523 of the family's 1533-position model. The record is from RNAcentral.